RNAcentral lists this ribosomal RNA (253 nucleotides) under uncultured bacterium. RNAcentral's name for it is "partial 16S ribosomal RNA". It matches the Rfam family "Bacterial small subunit ribosomal RNA", at positions 524 to 776 of the family's 1533-position model. The record is from RNAcentral.
UACGUAGGAGGCGAGCGUUGUCCGGAAUUACUGGGCGUAAAGAGCGUGUAGGUGGCGCGAUACGACCGGUGUGAAAUCCUCCGGCUCAACCGUGGAGGGUCAUUGGAAACUGGGAGACUUGAGUGCAGAAGAGGAAAGUGGAAUUCCAUGUGUAGCGGUGAAAUGCGUAGAGAUAUGGAGGAACACCAGUGGCGAAGGCGACUUUCUGGUCUGUAACUGACACUGAGGCGCGAAAGCGUGGGGAGCAAACAGG